GUAAGAGUUCCAGGGCUGAAAGCUGUGAACGUCUUUGCUAAGUCAUGAGGGUUGGAGGACAGGGCUAGUCAUGAGGGCUGAUGGAAUCAGUUGACAGUCAAGAUGGGUCAUCAAGCCAGAGGAAGACCAUGAGACCAGCUGGACCCAGGGAGUAGCCAGCUCCACCUCAACAGUGUCCUGUAUGUCUCCCUUACCUUACCCUGAAGUACAUCUUGCUGAAGAAUUACGCACAUGUUUAAAGAACAGCAGCCUGAGAUGCAAAAUAAGAACAGCUGUUGCCUCGUUGGAACAAACAUUCCUGAGGGCCUAAGGAGUGCGAAGAAUUUCAGCAGCAGUUCUUAGGAGACCACAGUUAGAGAUGCCACGAUGCAGAUCAUGCUGGUCUUGAACUCACGAUCCUGCUGUCUCAGCCCUAGGAGUAGCUGGGCAUACAAGCAUGCACCACCAGGCCUGACAAGACAGACUCUUUCUACUAGUAAAUUAACACCAUCAACCCUUGGUAUCUGCCAGUUGGUUCCAUAUCUGAAGAUUCAGCUAAAACUAUAGACUGGAAAAGAAAAAAAAAGAUUUGUAUGUAUACUAAGCACGCACGGACUUUCACCCCUGCUAUGAUUCCCUGGACAAUAAAGGGCAACAACUAUUUACAGAGCUUUUGCAUGACUUCAGGAAUUGCAUCUUAUCUAGACCCAAUUUAAAGCACACAGAAGGACAUAUGCUG
This is a long non-coding RNA of Cavia porcellus (domestic guinea pig), 718 nucleotides long. RefSeq lists it as uncharacterized. Lineage: Eukaryota; Metazoa; Chordata; Mammalia; Rodentia; Caviidae. The transcript is spliced from 4 exons. The record is from RefSeq and is a predicted model, not a curated record.